GUCCAGGGAUGGGAAUCGAACCCAACAAUGUUCCGCUUACCGGGCAGAUGCCAUGUCCACUAGGCUACCCUGGA
RNAcentral lists this transfer RNA (74 nucleotides) under Cordylochernes scorpioides. Its description in RNAcentral is "tRNA-Thr". The record is from RNAcentral. Lineage: Eukaryota; Metazoa; Arthropoda; Arachnida; Pseudoscorpiones; Chernetidae.